GGCGCGUGAUUGACGGCUCAGAUUAAAUCACACACAUUCCAUUCAUUUCCACGCACUUUCUCUCUCCUCAACCAUUUUCUCUCUCCUCCAUUGCUAUGAGCUUUCUCUAUCAAAUUGGGUAUAAUUGCUUCAAAUUCAUCCAGAUCUUGCUAAAAUUGCUUCAAAUUCGUCGAGGUCUUGUUGGAAAUUCAAUUUUUCUUAUUUAAUUUGGUGAAUUUAGGAAUUUUUUCUACGACUCUGAAUUUUCAGCGGCAUUUAAGGUUGAAAUCUGCUGAAAUUUGAAGUUGUUAAAAAUGAAGUUACGAGAGAUUGAGGUUGUGCAUAAUUGAAGUUAAUUAAUGUUGAAAUUUUACACAAAUUUGAGUAAUAUUUCUGAAAUUUACUACGGAAUAUAAUUUUUCCGUUUUUUUGUUCCAGUGAUUUUAUUGUUGAAUAAUUUAAUUAGUCUAAAUGAAGGUUCUUAAUUUGUAACUUUGCAUA
This is a long non-coding RNA of Chenopodium quinoa (quinoa), 480 nucleotides long. RefSeq lists it as uncharacterized. Lineage: Eukaryota; Viridiplantae; Streptophyta; Magnoliopsida; Caryophyllales; Amaranthaceae. The transcript is spliced from 2 exons. The record is from RefSeq and is a predicted model, not a curated record.